RNAcentral lists this long non-coding RNA (492 nucleotides) under Pan troglodytes (chimpanzee). RNAcentral's name for it is "long non-coding RNA NONPTRT017072". Lineage: Eukaryota; Metazoa; Chordata; Mammalia; Primates; Hominidae. The record is from RNAcentral.
GUCAACUUUCCAAAUCUAAGCUAUGGUACACUCGAAAUAAAAAGUUUUAAAAUAUAAUUGAGUAAGCAUUUAUAUUUUAAAAUAUAGAAAUCUCUUCAUUUUGAACAUGUUCUUGGCCUGCAUGUGGUUUGGAGGCCCUGGGGCCUGCUUUUCAGGAGGACCUGGGAGGAUCAAGUGGGCCACAGACGACUUAAGGAGCGCCAAUGGGUUGCCAAGAGUCAGGACAGACCGUUAAUCGGAUGAGGAAGUAGGAAAGAGGGCAGGCAGCCAGUACGCUGAAGAGACCAGUGUGUACUACACCCUUUCCUUAUCCAGGAGAAUGGCAACUUCUACGAGGAGAGGUCUAAGAGCAAGUUUCAAUGACAUGAAGUUCUGCCGUUUGACCAGCAGAUCAGCAGGAGAAGACAAAGCGCUCAGGAGAGCAGCAGUGAGGCCAGUGGGCUCCCUGUGGGGGAAAGAAUGGAGGUAGGGAGGAGAGAAUAGUUAAGACUC